Molecule: ribosomal RNA, 120 nt
Filed under: uncultured bacterium
Lineage: Bacteria
Description: partial 16S ribosomal RNA
Rfam family: Bacterial small subunit ribosomal RNA
Source: RNAcentral
GACGAACGCUGGCGGCGUGCCUAAUACAUGCAAGUCGAGCGGAUUGAUGGGAGCUUGCUCCCUGAUAUCAGCGGCGGACGGGUGAGUAACACGUGGGCAACCUGCCUAUAAGACUGGGAU